CCCCCUCCCCCCGGUUUGACACCCCCUCCCGCCCCGCUCCGCCCUCCUCCCCGCCCCGCCGGUUGUCCCUCCGUAAACGGAAGCCGAGGAGGGACGAAGGAGCCGGGGAGGAGGUUGGAGCAGCGCGAUGGGGGACUCCAAAGUGAAGGUGGCGGUGCGCGUCCGCCCCACGAACCGGCGAGCGGCCGAGAGUCAUGAAUGCCUCACAACUGGUGACUGCAGAGCUAGAAAAUGGAAUGACAACAGCUCAGCAGCCGCUUUAGAGACAGCCAGCGUGGCUUCGCCGAGGGCAAAUCGUGCCCGACUAAUCCAGCGGCCUUCCAUGAUGGAGUGACGGCAUUAGAGGACGAGGGAAGAGCUACGGAUGUCACCUGCCUGGAGGACGUCAGUGAGGCACGGACAGUUUUGCAGGCAUCCAUGAGUGAAGGACCAGAGUACCUCAAUCUGUCCCUUCAACAAUCCUUCCCCGCUCCAUGUUUUCAAUUGGAAACCGCACCAGUGAGCUCCUAAAUCCAGGCGGCGCCUCUGCAGAAGUGGAGCAAAACCAACAUGAUUCAGCAGAUGAAGCUGUAAAAUAUUCCAACCUUUGAAGUCAAGGCAGUUCAGCCCUGACCAUUCAUGUAUCUCAGAAGUACUAGGAGAUAAACGCGGGAAACAUUACACAGCUCGACUGAAAAGCAAGAUAAACCUGAAGGCAAACUUAUCGUACCAGAAUAAAACUCUUUACUCCUGGGACUGGCCAAACAACAAUCUAUGAAAAAUGCAAAACAGCAACAGGUCUUGUUUUUAAACUGUUUCGCAAAAUAUUUUUGUGCUGAGAACCUGAUCACUGAAGAUGCUAAAGUGCUGCUGGCUGCCCUGAAUGCCUCCCAGUCUCUGACUGGGACUGUCCCAGUUGGUGCUCAGCUUCUUGCAGAAGUGGACCCCUUAAGAGUUUGCAUACAACUAACUAAACACUAGAGGCAGGGGCUCGCAUAAAGGAAAUGUCCAGAGGCAAGACUGCAGAGCCAUGAGAAGUCAUCGCCUUCCCAGAGCCCCGAUAAAACCCGACGUUGAAGCUGAGGAUGGUUCUUUGGCCUCCGAGGAUGUCUCCGUCUUCAGAGAAGUUUGCAGAACGUAGCAACGAUCACGUGCGAAUCUGGUUUCUCUUUGGCAAUUAGAAUGGAAGAAAGGUUGAAAGGGUGACUCAACAGAAAAAACAUCACCCUCCACUUGCGGCUCAUCAUGCCCAGCUGUAAAGCGGGGAUUAUAUUUACCUCCAUUGCAAAGUACUCGGUUUCAGAAGACGUUGGUGCGGUUUGCUGAGGCCCCGGCUGGAAAAUACCACAAGAAGUUCAAAGCCCGGUUUCAUCCUGUAAUUGGAUCCUCAAGUCCACAAGUGCAAGAACCAACUGUGCGGGCUGACAGCAGGUCCUCCCCUCUUCCAACAAGAACCCCACCACAACACGGGGCUGUGGGGCUGAGCUGCAAGCGUGGCAUACCCAGGAGCUGCUACUUUCUGCUGCUAUGCACAAAAAAAUGUUGUUUAAAGCUUUUGCCACCCUGUUUGAUCUGACCUGCUGUUAUUUUUUCUUUCUUUUUUUUUUUUUUUAACUCUAAGACAUCUUCUUAACUCUCAUGCUCACUUGGGAUGCUCUUAAGAACAUGGACUUUAAUCCCAGUGUUACUUAAAUACCAAUUUAAUAUUUGUUUUCUCUCUGCCUUGACAAGAUAUUCCUCAGGUCAAGCAGGCAUGAAAUGAUAGAUAUUGAGUGCAAUUCUUCUGGGCAAGAAGAGCUACCUUCUAAGAUCUUAUCUCAAAACCACUUGGAAAUGUGUUCUUUAUUUAUUUAUGCCAUAAAAUCUCAUUCGAUGUUGAAGGCCCAAAGGAUUACAAUUCUGAAUUGUUGGUUUGCUGUUUUGUUUUCUUUUUUUUUUUCCCCCCGUCCUUGCUGAAAUCUGGCCUUUCAAAAUAACACAGAGAGAAUCUUUGUUUUGAUCUAAAAUAGCAGCUGCAAGGGCUUUUAAAUGACCAUUUAAAUGAGAUUUCUUUUUUUGCAUCUUCGCAUUAUAGUUUCAUUCUCGGUCUCUGAGAUCAGUAGCUGCGGUUGAGCAGCCGAGCCGUCUAAUGGGAAUAAAUUGUAAUAUUGUUCCAA
Long non-coding RNA from Tyto alba (common barn owl), 2135 nucleotides. RefSeq lists it as uncharacterized. Lineage: Eukaryota; Metazoa; Chordata; Aves; Strigiformes; Tytonidae. The transcript is spliced from 7 exons. The record is from RefSeq and is a predicted model, not a curated record.